This 213-nucleotide unclassified non-coding RNA is filed under the name Vibrio harveyi. RNAcentral describes it as "partial miscellaneous RNA". The record is from RNAcentral. Lineage: Bacteria; Pseudomonadati; Pseudomonadota; Gammaproteobacteria; Vibrionales; Vibrionaceae.
UAGCUCUUUAACAAUUUGGAAAGCUGACAAAACAACAAUUUAUUGUUGUUUGUAAAGUUCUCAAUGUUUGUCUUUAUGACAAACACCAAUACAACACAUUCAAGUGUUCUUGGAAUUUGAGUCCGGCAAAAUCGAUAUGUCUCUCGCUCAUUCAAAUAAUGAGAGACAACUUUGGUGAUUUGAACAUCAACUCGAAACUCCUUCGGGUUGUAU